This 497-nucleotide ribosomal RNA is filed under the name uncultured bacterium. RNAcentral's name for it is "partial 16S ribosomal RNA". It matches the Rfam family "Bacterial small subunit ribosomal RNA", at positions 28 to 507 of the family's 1533-position model. The record is from RNAcentral.
GACGAACGCUGGCGGCGUGCCUAAUACAUGCAAGUUGAGCGAUGAAGAUUGGUGCUUGCACCAAUUUGAAGAGCAGCGAACGGGUGAGUAACGCGUGGGGAAUCUGCCUUUGAGCGGGGGACAACAUUUGGAAACGAAUGCUAAUACCGCAUAACAACUUUAAACAUAAGUUUUAAGUUUGAAAGAUGCAAUUGCAUCACUCAAAGAUGAUCCCGCGUUGUAUUAGCUAGUUGGUGAGGUAAAGGCUCACCAAGGCGAUGAUACAUAGCCGACCUGAGAGGGUGAUCGGCCACAUUGGGACUGAGACACGGCCCAAACUCCUACGGGAGGCAGCAGUAGGGAAUCUUCGGCAAUGGACGAAAGUCUGACCGAGCAACGCCGCGUGAGUGAAGAAGGUUUUCGGAUCGUAAAACUCUGUUGGUAGAGAGGAACGUUGGUGAGAGUGGAAAGCUCAUCAAGUGACGGUAACUACCCAGAAAGGGACGGCUAACUACGUG